This 450-nucleotide ribosomal RNA is filed under the name uncultured Glomus. RNAcentral describes it as "bacterial SSU rRNA". It matches the Rfam family "Eukaryotic small subunit ribosomal RNA", at positions 569 to 1016 of the family's 1831-position model. The record is from RNAcentral. Lineage: Eukaryota; Fungi; Glomeromycota; Glomeromycetes; Glomerales; Glomeraceae.
AGCAGCCGCGGUAAUUCCAGCUCCAAUAGCGUAUAUUAAAGUCGUUGCAGUUAAAAAGCUCGUAGUUGAAUUUCGGGAUCAAUUUGCCGGUCGAGACCUCUGGUACGUACUUGUAUUAUUGAUUUCUUUCAUUCUGAUAAAUCAUUGAUGUCAUUAAUUUGAUGACUUUGAGGAAUCGGAACUUUUACUUUGAAAAAUUAGAGUGUUUAAAGCAGGCUUAUUAGGCUUGAAUACAUUAGCAUGGAAUAAUGAAAUAGGACGAUUGAUCCUAUUUUUGUUGGUUUCUAGGAUUGACGUAAUGAUUAAUAGGGAUAGUUGGGGGCAUUAGUAUUCAAUUGUCAGAGGUGAAAUUCUUGGAUUUAUUGAAGACUAACUACUGCGAAAGCAUUUGCCAAGGAUGUUUUCAUUAAUCAAGAACGAAAGUUAGGGGAUCGAAGACGAUCAGAUACC